GCCGAUGACAAGCCUUCCCCUCUCUGAGGGGUGGUGAGCAAUCCAGUAGGCCGAGGC
Molecule: unclassified non-coding RNA, 57 nt
Filed under: Thermococcus thioreducens
Lineage: Archaea; Methanobacteriati; Methanobacteriota; Thermococci; Thermococcales; Thermococcaceae
Description: Pyrococcus C/D box small nucleolar RNA
Source: RNAcentral